UACGUAGGGUGCAAGCGUUGUCCGGAAUUAUUGGGCGUAAAGAGCUCGUAGGCGGUUUGUUGCGUCGGCUGUGAAAUCCCGAGGCUCAACCUCGGGUCUGCAGUCGAUACGAGCAAACUAGAGUGUUGCAGGGGAGACUGGAAUUCCUGGUGUAGCGGUGAAAUGCGCAGAUAUCAGGAGGAACACCGGUGGCGAAGGCGGGUCUCUGGGCAACAACUGACGCUGAGGAGCGAAAGCGUGGGGGGCGAACAGG
Molecule: ribosomal RNA, 253 nt
Filed under: uncultured bacterium
Lineage: Bacteria
Description: partial 16S ribosomal RNA
Rfam family: Bacterial small subunit ribosomal RNA
Source: RNAcentral